ACGAGAGCCUCGAGCGUUAUCCGGAAUUAUUGGGCGUAAAGGGUGCGUAGGUUGUUCUGUUAGUCUUUUGUUAAAUCCCCGAGCUUAACUUGGGAAUCGCAAAAGAAACGGCAGGACUUGAAAGUGUGAGAGGCGUACGGAACUCAUGGUGUAGGGGUAAAAUCCGUUGAUAUCAUGGGGAACACCAAAAGCGAAAGCAGUACGCUGGCGCAUGUUUGACACUGAAGCACUAAAGCGUGGGGAGCGAACGGGA
This 253-nucleotide ribosomal RNA is filed under the name uncultured prokaryote. RNAcentral describes it as "partial 16S ribosomal RNA". It matches the Rfam family "Bacterial small subunit ribosomal RNA", at positions 525 to 777 of the family's 1533-position model. The record is from RNAcentral.